This is an RNA transcript of Syngnathoides biaculeatus (alligator pipefish), 3576 nucleotides long. It is a transcript of the gene named putative helicase mov-10-B.1, with no coding region annotated. The record is from RefSeq and is a predicted model, not a curated record. Lineage: Eukaryota; Metazoa; Chordata; Actinopteri; Syngnathiformes; Syngnathidae. The transcript has 22 exons.
AGCCCGCGGUUUAAGUUUCGUUUCUUUUUCGCACCAGUUGAUCACGGGUGCGCGCGAUUUGACGUCCGAGGCUGCGCCGCUAAGCCCCGCGACUCGUUGUCACAGUGUUACAGUGUAAGCACCGCUCUCGCGGGAUGCGCAUAAACUGUACCUGCGUGACUAACUUUGCGAGUUGCGAGGAAGGAACGCUUUUCAUCAGUACUUCCGCAUUUGCACGAGCGAGAAGAGGAGAGGAGAAGAGAAGAGAGGAGAGGACCGGACCGGACCUGACCGGACCGCAGAACACCGCAGAGGAGCCUUCUUGGUGGCGCCGGAAAAGACGCUCGGCAGACAGCAUGAAAAAUACCAGGAAGUCGGCGCUCAAAGUUGGGCUCCAAUUCUUCGUGUUCCUCCGGGAGACCGACCGUGCAAGCGUUGUGGCCAGAGCCGAACUCAAAGAAAUCUACAACAGCGAGUUCAAAGCAAGGAAUGGAGACAAAAAAGUGCCGGGCUUUAGCACCGUCCUCUACGUCCUGAAACAGUCGGGGCAAAUACACGUGGCCGGACAAGAAAUUCGCGUCCUGGCCAGAAUGACUUUAGUGGACCAGUGGCAAAGGCCCAGGAGGUCCCAGCCGCAGACCGUCUCGAACGUUGAGGAAGAUCCAGCUCCCGAUCGGCCGCCGCGAUCUGCCGUGGAAGAAAAUAAGAAAGCGGCCAGAGACCUUACAGAAUUGCUGAAGAACAACAGGUCUCUCUUAAUUUCCAAUAAAUUUAAUAUUGUCAUCAGCUCCGACUGCGAUUUCCACGAUGGAAAACUUCUCUUGGAUGUGGAAACCGAGCAGCACGUUGUUCAUCUAAAUAUUGAAAACACCGGAAGCGAAAGUGUGCUUUUCACCUACUACACGGCACUGCACAAGCUCAGCUGCUUCACCCUAAAGGACGAGCGCAAGGUGACCCGAAAACUGCCGCUUUCACUCAACGCAGGCGAUCGCUACGCCAUCCACGUUGAGUACCGGCUGGAGAGCCCCGGCUACUAUCCAGUGACGUUGGCCUUUGAGUUUGAGCGGAGUUCCUCCCCUUCUCCCUUCGUUAUCGUGCGGGACGUUUGCGUUCAUUAUUUAAAGGAGCUGGGAGUGCAGCUGAAAGCGACCGCUCCCUUCAAGCGUCCCCGUCUCGCUCCUCAGCCUCACGAUGAGUCCCGCUUCAAGGUCGUGGAGGGAGUCCCGCCCGACGCGCUGUCGAGGACGGGGCUAAGAAGCGAAACCCCGCUUUAUUCGUAUAUGCCGCCGCCUGAUUUAGUUCAGCGCAUCCGGUUCCUCAACAAGGACCCUCCCGCAGAUAAAAGUCGGGCGCUGGCCUGCUCUUUAACUUCCAAGAACUACUCUCAGAAGUUCCGCGAGUUGUUGUACUUGGAGGAGCAUCAGAUGCAAGUGGACAUCAGGCAAUACUUCAUUAGCAACGACGACUACGCUUGCAUGCGACAAGAUCCAAGCAACAAGAAACUUCUCAUUCUCAAGGUACCGGGCCUGUCUGAGAACCGCCCGUCGGUGCUUCGUGGAGAUCGGCUGCUGAUUUACCCCAAAGGAGAAACGCGACACAAGUACGCCGGUUAUGUCCACUCGGUGCAGCAGGACUCUGUCAAACUGGGCUUUGACUCCAAGUUCUUGGAGAAUUUUGCGGAGGGCUUGAAGUUCAACGUGGAGUUCACCUGCAAUCGUCUGCCUUUACGUCUGCAGCACCGAGCGGUCCAAAAUGCAACCGAGUUUAAACUGGAAAAGGUUUUGUUCCCGCCAGACAGCCUCCGCUCAAAGCAAAUAGCGAACAUGCCCGACCUCAGUUUCUACGACAGACAGCUGGAGAAAAACCCCGAGCAGAGCAAAGCCGUGCGUCACAUUGUGUACGGCACCUCCAAGCCGGCGCCGUACGUGGUUUUCGGUCCACCCGGCACAGGCAAAACGGUCACCUUGGUGGAGGCCGUCAAGCAGGUGGACAAGAUCCGGAAAGACUGCCACAUUCUGGUGUGCGCUCCCUCCAACAGUGCGACGGAUCUCCUGUGCGCCAGGAUUCUGAAGGGGGGCCACGGGAACAAGGGCAAGGUCUACCGCAUGUAUGCCAGCAGCCGCGAUCCGAAAAGCGUCCCUCCGGAGCUGAAGGCGCACUCGAACCUCGAUAAGUACGGUUAUUGUUUCCCUUCCAAAGAGGAACUGAUGGAGUAUCGAAUCCUGGUCACCACUCUGCUUACUGCUGGAAGGCUGGUGACAGGAAAUCUCCCCGUCGGCCAUUUCACUCACAUUUUUGUGGACGAGGCCGGACAAGCCAAGGAGACGGAAUGUUUGAUCCCGCUGGCCGGGCUGCUGGACCCCGAGGCCGGCCAGGUGGUUCUGGCUGGAGACCACAAGCAGCUGGGACCCAUUGUGGCAUCACCUCUUGCUCUUAAAUAUGGAUUAGGCGUUUCCCUCUUGGAGCGACUGAUGAGCAAUUCGUCGUCGUCGGUGUACUGCAAGGACGGCGCCUUCAACGACCUGUUUGUCACCAAACUGCUGCGCAAUUUCAGGUCCCAUCCUGCCAUUCUGAAAGUCCCCAACGAGCUGUUCUACGACGGAGAGCUGCAAGCGUGCGCUGACGAAAAGAAACGCAACCGCUUCUGCGAGUGGGAGCACCUUGAACGAGCGGACUUCCCGGUGAUUUUCCACGGGGUGACGGGUGUGGACGAGCGCGAGGCCAACAGCCCUUCCAGCUUCAACAGAGCAGAAGUGGAGGUUGUGAUCGACAUCAUCAAGAAACUGCUGCAGAUGAGCGACGUCGUUCCCAAAGACAUAGGCAUCAUCACACCCUACAGGAAACAAAAAGAGAAAUUCCUUCAGGCGCUUCGUUACCUCAGUAGGAAUGACAGACGGUUCCAAUUUAUGGACAUGGCCGCCUUGAAGGUCGGUACGGUGGAGGAGUUCCAAGGUCAGGAGCGGGAGGUCAUCUUGGUGUCGACGGUCCGCAGCGACCCCAAGUACACGGACUUCGACAAACACUUCGACCUGGGCUUCGUUGCCAACGAGAAGGGUGUCCGGGCUCUCUCUCUUAGAAGAACGGGUGAGAAGCUCGGUCAUCAGGGAGGGGCUCAGUGUCGAGCCAGAUGAGGUGGCUGCUGGGGCAUCUGAUUCGGAAGCCUCCCGAAAUCCUCCGACCCCGAGGACGACCCGGGACACGCCGGAGAGACUGUGUCUCUUGGCGGGCUUGGGAACGCCUCGGGAUCCCUCCGGAAGAGCUGGAAGAAGCGGCCGGGGAAAGGGAAAGUCUGGGCAUCCCUGCUGAAGCUACUUCCCCCGCGACGCGACCCGACCCGCAGAAGCCGUACAGAAUGGACGGAAAGACGAUUUCCUAGGCACUCGUCUUUUACGUUCCCAAGAUGCUUUUGUGCACAAAAAUGUCAACUAACGCAAAUUGUCUCGAUCAGCGCUUCAACGUGGCGAUGACCCGAAGUCAAGCCUUGUUGAUCGUGGUGGGUAACCCGGUGGUGCUGGCCACCGACAAAGUCUGGAACCACUUCAUCAAGCACUGUCAAGAUUCCAAGGUGGACCGCGGGUACAAUCGGGCGGAGGACGU